RNAcentral lists this ribosomal RNA (550 nucleotides) under uncultured bacterium. RNAcentral describes it as "partial 16S ribosomal RNA". It matches the Rfam family "Bacterial small subunit ribosomal RNA", at positions 355 to 894 of the family's 1533-position model. The record is from RNAcentral.
UAGGGAAUCUUCCACAAUGGACGCAAGUCUGAUGGAGCAACGCCGCGUGAGUGAAGAAGGUUUUCGGACCGUAAAGCUCUGUUGUUGGUGAAGAAGGAUAGAGGUAGUAACUGGCCUUUAUUUGACGGUAAUCAACCAGAAAGUCACGGCUAACUACGUGCCAGCAGCCGCGGUAAUACGUAGGUGGCAAGCGUUGUCCGGAUUUAUUGGGCGUAAAGCGAGCGCAGGCGGAAGAAUAAGUCUGAUGUGAAAGCCCUCGGCUUAACCGAGGAAUUGCAUCGGAAACUGUUUUCUUGAGUGCAGAAGAGGAGAGUAGAACUCCAUGUGUAGCGGUGGAAUGCGUAGAUAUAUGGAAGAAUACCAGUGGCGAAGGCGGCUCUCUGGUCUGCAACUGACGCUGAGGCUCGAAAAGCAUGGGUAGCGAACAGGAUUAGAUACCCUGGUAGUCCAUGCCGUAAAACGAUGAGUGCUAAGUGUUGGGAGGCUUCCGCCUCUCAGUGCUGCAGCUAACGCAUUAAGCACUCCGCCUGGGGGAGUACGACCGCAAGGU